CCUACGGGUGGCAGCAGUGGGGAAUAUUGGACAAUGGGCGAAAGCCUGAUCCAGCCAUGCCGCGUGUGUGAAGAAGGCCUUCGGGUUGUAAGCACUUUCAGUGGGGAAGAAAGCCUUGGGGCUAAUACCCUCGAGGAAGGACAUCACCCACAGAAGAAGCACCGGCUAACUCCGUGCCAGCAGCCGCGGUAAUACGGAGGGUGCGAGCGUUAAUCGGAAUUACUGGGCGUAAAGCGCGCGUAGGCGGUCUGAUAAGCCGGUUGUGAAAGCCCCGGGCUCAACCUGGGAACGGCAUCCGGAACUGUCAGGCUAGAGUGCAGGAGAGGAAGGUAGAAUUCCCGGUGUAGCGGUGAAAUGCGUAGAGAUCGGGAGGAAUACCAGUGGCGAAGGCGGCCUUCUGGACUGACACUGACGCUGAGGUGCGAAAGCGUGGGUAGCAAACAGGAUUAGAUACCCCAGUAGUC
RNAcentral lists this ribosomal RNA (464 nucleotides) under Vreelandella stevensii. RNAcentral's name for it is "partial 16S ribosomal RNA". It matches the Rfam family "Bacterial small subunit ribosomal RNA", at positions 338 to 795 of the family's 1533-position model. The record is from RNAcentral. Lineage: Bacteria; Pseudomonadati; Pseudomonadota; Gammaproteobacteria; Oceanospirillales; Halomonadaceae.